CGCUCAUCCAGAGGGGCAGAGGGACACGGCCCGUUGAAGCCCCGGCAACCCUCCAGUCGGUUCUCGCGAUGCGACACGCAUCGGGCGGGGCCCCGGCUAGGGAAGGUGCCAAUUCCGUCUCAUGGCGAAGUGCGCCAUGGGGAAGAUGAGGA
RNAcentral lists this non-coding RNA (152 nucleotides) under Streptomyces subrutilus. RNAcentral describes it as "SAM-I sequence". It matches the Rfam family "SAM riboswitch aptamer (S box leader)". From Rfam's summary of the family: The SAM riboswitch is found upstream of a number of genes which code for proteins involved in methionine or cysteine biosynthesis in Gram-positive bacteria. The SAM riboswitch acts at the level of transcription termination control. The record is from Rfam by way of RNAcentral. Lineage: Bacteria; Bacillati; Actinomycetota; Actinomycetes; Kitasatosporales; Streptomycetaceae.